AUUGAAAAAAGAGGGGUUAGUGUUGGGUUGAGCUUACAAAGGAUGAGAAUAGAGAAUUGCAAGUA
Telopea speciosissima is the source of this 65-nucleotide long non-coding RNA. RefSeq lists it as uncharacterized. The transcript is spliced from 4 exons. The record is from RefSeq and is a predicted model, not a curated record. NCBI's taxonomy places the organism in Eukaryota, Viridiplantae, Streptophyta, Magnoliopsida, Proteales, Proteaceae.